GCAACUCGACUCCAUGAAGCUGGAUUCGCUAGUAAUCGCGCAUCAGCCAUGGCGCGGUGAAUACGUUCCCGGGCCUUGUACACACCGCCCGUCACACCAUGAGAGUUGGGAAUACCCGAAGCCUGUGAGCUAACGUUAAGAGGCAGCAGUCGAAGGUAGAAUCAAUGAUUGGGGUGAAGUCGUAACAAGGUAUC
RNAcentral lists this ribosomal RNA (194 nucleotides) under uncultured bacterium. Its description in RNAcentral is "partial 16S ribosomal RNA". It matches the Rfam family "Bacterial small subunit ribosomal RNA", at positions 1307 to 1500 of the family's 1533-position model. The record is from RNAcentral.